GGGGGGGGGUGGCGUGAAGAAGCCAUGGGUGAUAGGGAGUGAUGGUGUAGAAAGCUGCAGGCGCCAUCGAAGAUAGAGUAGGCGUGGAAGUGGAGGGGGUGAGUCGCAUCGAUGGGUGGAGGAUCCGUCGGAGAGUGGCGGGGUGCCGUGGGUGUGGGAGGGGGGCAUGAUGGCAGAGCCGUGUAGGCAGAGGAGAACUGAC
This 202-nucleotide long non-coding RNA is filed under the name Elaeis guineensis (African oil palm). RNAcentral describes it as "long non-coding RNA (EGUI_LNC031485)". Lineage: Eukaryota; Viridiplantae; Streptophyta; Magnoliopsida; Arecales; Arecaceae. The record is from RNAcentral.